Molecule: ribosomal RNA, 743 nt
Filed under: uncultured bacterium
Lineage: Bacteria
Description: bacterial SSU rRNA
Rfam family: Bacterial small subunit ribosomal RNA
Source: RNAcentral
AGAGUUUGAUCAUGGCUCAGGAUGAACGCUGGCAGCGUGGAUAAGGCAUGCAAGUCAAGGGGGCCGCAAGGCAACCGGCAGACGAGGUAGAAACGCGUAGGUACAUUCCCAGAAGUCGGGCACAGCUCGUCGAAAGACGGGGUAAUUCCCGAUGGUCCCGCAAGGGUAAAGUUUUUUCGCUUCUGGAGCGGCCUGCGUCAUAUCAGCUAGUUGGUAGGGUAACGGCCUACCAAGGCUACGACGUGUAGGGGGGCUGAGAGGCCGAUCCCCACCGAUGGCACUGCGAUACGGGCCAUACCUCUACGGAGGGCUGCAGCCGAGAAUAUUCGACAAUGGACGAAAGUCUGAUCGAGCGACGCCGCGUGCUGGAUGAAGUGCUUCGGCACGUAAACAGCUUUUAUCGGGGACGAAGUUUAUUGACGGUACCCGAUGAAUAAGGGGCUACUAACUCUGUGCCAGCAGUAGCGGUAAUACAGAGGCCCCAAGCGUUAUCCGGAAUCACUGGGCGUAAAGGGUGUCCAGGCGGUCGUAUUAGUCGUUUGUAAAAUCCGCGCGCUUAACGUGCGGUCCGCAGACGAAACGGUACGACUCGAGGGCGCGAGAGGUGCAUGGAACUCACGGUGGAGGGGUGAAAUCCGUUGAUAUCGUGGGGAACACCAAAGGCGAAGGCGUGCACUAGCGCGUUCCUGACGCUCACACACGAAAGCCAGGGGAUCGAACGGGAUUAGAUACCCUAGUAGUCC